RNAcentral lists this ribosomal RNA (405 nucleotides) under uncultured bacterium. RNAcentral's name for it is "partial 16S ribosomal RNA". It matches the Rfam family "Bacterial small subunit ribosomal RNA", at positions 30 to 526 of the family's 1533-position model. The record is from RNAcentral.
AUUGAACGCUAGCGGCAUGCCUUACACAUGCAAGUCGAACGAGUGGCGGACGGGUGAGUAAUAUAUCGGAACCUGCCCAGUAGCGGGGGAUAACUACUCGAAAGAGUGGCUAAUACCGCAUACCAUCGGAUGGGCCCAUAUCGGAUUAGCUAGUUGGUGGGGUAAAGGCUCACCAAGGCAACGAUCCCUAGCUGGUUUGAGAGGACGACCAGCCACACUGGAACUGAGACACGGCCCAGACUCCUACGGGAGGCAGCAGUGGGGAAUAUUGCACAAUGGGGGAAAGCCUGAUGCAGCCAUCCCGCGUGUAUGAGAAGGCCUUCGGGUUGUAAAGUACUUUUAGCAGGGAAGCGGUAUCUGCAGAAUAAGCACCGGCUAACUACGUGCCAGCAGCCGCGGUAAUUC